GCACUCCUCCUUGCACUCCCUGUCAAAGUGUAUAGCAUGCUAGGGCCAUGUUUAGUUACUCCCAACUCCCAACUUUAACACUAUGCAAAAAGAAGAUUCUCCAUCACAUCAAACUUGCGGUACAUGCAUGGAGUACUAAAUGUAGAUGAAAUUAAAAACUAAUUGCACAGUUUUGUUGUACUUUGCGAGACGAAUCUUUUGAGCCUAAUUAGUCAAUAUUUGGACAAUAAUUCACAAAUACAAACGAAACGCUACAGUGUGCUACAGUGCUGUAACAGUAAUUUGGCACCUCCCAAAUUCCCCAACUAAACAAGGCCUAGGAGUAGGAGCUGGAGCACUGCAACCUGCUUGUUAUGGCUCACAGGAAAUUCAGCUCAGCUCAGAGCUCCAGCAGUCUGUCGAAUCCUGGCAUUUCCAGUGAUCUUAAAGAAUGGAGCUUUGGUGCAGAACAGAGAUAUAUAUAGAUAAAAAAAGAAUU
RNAcentral lists this long non-coding RNA (478 nucleotides) under Setaria italica (foxtail millet). Its description in RNAcentral is "long non-coding RNA (SITA_LNC003599)". Lineage: Eukaryota; Viridiplantae; Streptophyta; Magnoliopsida; Poales; Poaceae. The record is from RNAcentral.